Molecule: ribosomal RNA, 701 nt
Filed under: Bacillus sp. SV101
Lineage: Bacteria; Bacillati; Bacillota; Bacilli; Caryophanales; Bacillaceae
Description: bacterial SSU rRNA
Rfam family: Bacterial small subunit ribosomal RNA
Source: RNAcentral
UGCAGUCGAGCGGACAGAUGGGAGCUUGCUCCCUGAUGUUAGCGGCGGACGGGUGAGUAACACGUGGGUAACCUGCCUGUAAGACUGGGAUAACUCCGGGAAACCGGGGCUAAUACCGGAUGCUUGUUUGAACCGCAUGGUUCGAACAUAAAAAGGUGGCUUCGGCUACCACUUACAGAUGGACCCGCGGCCAUUAGCUAGUUGGUGAGGUAACGGCUCACCAAGGCGACGAUGCGUAGCCGACCUGAGAGGGUGAUCGGCCACACUGGGACUGAGACACGGCCCAGACUCCUACGGGAGGCAGCAGUAGGGAAUCUUCCGCAAUGGACGAAAGUCUGACGGAGCAACGCCGCGUGAGUGAUGAAGGUUUUCGGAUCGUAAAGCUCUGUUGUUAGGGAAGAACAAAGUGCCGUUCAAAUAGGGCGGCACCUUGACGGUACCUAACCAGAAAGCCACGGCUAACUACGUGCCAGCAGCCGCGGUAAUACGUAGGUGGCAAGCGUUGUCCGGAAUUAUUGGGCGUAAAGGGCUCGCAGGCGGUUUCUUAAGUCUGAUGUGAAAGCCCCCGGCUCAACCGGGGAGGGUCGUUGGAAACUGGGGAACUUGAGUGCAGAAGAGGAGAGUGGAAUUCCACGUGUAGCGGUGAAAUGCGUAGAGAUGUGGAGGAACACCAGUGGCGAAGGCGACUCUCUGGUCUGUAA